GUGUCAGCAGCCGCGGUAAUACGAAGGGUGCAAGCGUUAAUCGGAAUUACUGGGCGUAAAGCGUGCGUAGGCGGUUUCUUAAGUCCGUUGUGAAAGCCCUGGGCUCAACCUGGGAACUGCGAUGGAUACUGAGGAGCUGGAGUACGGUAGAGGAAGGUGGAAUUCCCGGUGUAGCGGUGAAAUGCGUAGAGAUCGGGAGGAACAUCAGUGGCGAAGGCGGCCUUCUGGACCAGUACUGACGCUGAGGCACGAAAGCGUGGGGAGCAAACAGGAUUAGAUACCCUCGUAGUCC
RNAcentral lists this ribosomal RNA (292 nucleotides) under uncultured bacterium. RNAcentral describes it as "partial 16S ribosomal RNA". It matches the Rfam family "Bacterial small subunit ribosomal RNA", at positions 505 to 796 of the family's 1533-position model. The record is from RNAcentral.